AGUGGCGGACGGGUGAGUAACGCGUAAGAAUCUAACUUCAGGACGGGGACAACAGUUGGAAACGACUGCUAAUACCCGAUGUGCCGCAAAGUGAAACCUAAUUGGCCUGGAGAAGAGCUUGCGUCUGAUUAGCUAGUUGGUGGGGUAAAGGCCUACCAAGGCGACGAUCAGUAGCUGGUCUGAGAGGAUGAGCAGCCACACUGGGACUGAGACACGGCCCAGACUCCUACGGGAGGCAGCAGUGGGGAAUUUUCCGCAAUGGGCGAAAGCCUGACGGAGCAACGCCGCGUGAGGGAGGAAGGUCUUUGGAUUGUAAACCUCUUUUCUCAAGGAAGAAGUUCUGACGGUACUUGAGGAAUCAGCCUCGGCUAACUCCGUGCCAGCAGCCGCGGUAAUACGGGGGAGGCAAGCGUUAUCCGGAAUUAUUGGGCGUAAAGCGUCCGCAGGUGGUCAGCCAAGUCUGCCGUCAAAUCAGGUUGCUUAACGACCUAAAGGCGGUGGAAACUGGCAGACUAGAGAGCAGUAGGGGUAGCAGGAAUUCCCAGUGUAGCGGUGAAAUGCGUAGAGAUUGGGAAGAACAUCGGUGGCGAAAGCGUGCUACUGGGCUGUAUCUGACACUCAGGGACGAAAGCUAGGGGAGCGAAAGGGAUUAGAUACCCCUGUAGUCCUAGCCGUAAACGAUGGAUACUAGGCGUGGCUU
This 700-nucleotide ribosomal RNA is filed under the name uncultured bacterium. RNAcentral describes it as "bacterial SSU rRNA". It matches the Rfam family "Bacterial small subunit ribosomal RNA", at positions 94 to 828 of the family's 1533-position model. The record is from RNAcentral.